RNAcentral lists this ribosomal RNA (460 nucleotides) under uncultured bacterium. RNAcentral describes it as "partial 16S ribosomal RNA". It matches the Rfam family "Bacterial small subunit ribosomal RNA", at positions 338 to 795 of the family's 1533-position model. The record is from RNAcentral.
CCUACGGGGGGCAGCAGUGAGGAAUAUUGGUCAAUGGGCGUAAGCCUGAACCAGCCAAGUCGCGUGAGGGAUGAAGGUUCUAUGGAUCGUAAACCUCUUUUAUAAGGGAAUAAAGUGUGGGACGUGUCCUGUUUUGUAUGUACCUUAUGAAUAAGGAUCGGCUAACUCCGUGCCAGCAGCCGCGGUAAUACGGAGGAUCCGAGCGUUAUCCGGAUUUAUUGGGUUUAAAGGGUGCGUAGGCGGCCUUUUAAGUCAGCGGUGAAAGUCUGUGGCUCAACCAUAGAAUGGCCGUUGAAACUGGGAGGCUUGAGUAUGUUUGAGGCAGGCGGAAUGCGUGGUGUAGCGGUGAAAUGCUUAGAUAUCACGCAGAACCCCGAUUGCGAAGGCAGCCUGCCAAGCCAUGACUGACGCCGAUGCACGAAAGCGUGGGGAUCAAACAGGAUUAGAUACCCCAGUAGUC